Long non-coding RNA from Vitis riparia (riverbank grape), 4557 nucleotides. RefSeq lists it as uncharacterized. The transcript has 3 exons. The record is from RefSeq and is a predicted model, not a curated record. NCBI's taxonomy places the organism in Eukaryota, Viridiplantae, Streptophyta, Magnoliopsida, Vitales, Vitaceae.
UUAGAGAGUUGAAGAUUUGUAGAAAAGGAAAGUAGCAGUUUCUUUUAUAACAGACAGUGGUUGACUUUUUACAUGGAGAAAGGGAAAGUGGCAGAGUUUUUGAUAUGAAAAAAGGAGAAUGAUAGAACUUACCUCGGGAAGAAAGAGAGAGUGACAGAUUUUUUAUAUGAAAAAGGAAAGUAGCAGAUUUAUUGAGGGGCUGGAAUUCUUUUUUUAUGGAAGAAAAAGAUGGCAGAAUUUUGGGGAGGGAGAAAGGAAAGUUUUCUUUUGAAAACUGAUAUAAGGAAGAAAAAAUGAGAGUAAUAGGAUUUUUAGCUGUGGGGGGAAAUUUUGGAUUCAAGAUGGGAGUUUUUUAAAAGCAAGAUGGGAAAAGAGCGCAGCAGGAUUUUUAUGGUUUUUGUUGGAAGAAGAAGAAGGGAGAUUUUCACUGGUUUUUUGAAGGAUUUUGGAAAGGAAGAUAGCUGGAAGCCAAGCGAUUGCAGUCAAAAUUGUCCAGAUAUGGAAGAACUUCUCUUGAUGAAGGCCGAGCAUGUGGGAGCAAGCAUUUAAUCAAAAUUUUGGAGUAGGCUAAAGAGGCUGCUUGCAAGGCACAUGGUUUUUGAAAGGUAAAAUAAGGCUUUUCUUCACCAUGCUGUUAUGGAUAACUAAUCAGUAAGAAGUUACUUCAGUUUUCGCCCCCUUAACUAUAUGUUUUCUAGUUACUAUAUCCUUCUUCUUCACAAUUUUUAGUUUGUCUUGCCUUUUCAAGGUGUACUAUUCCAAAUCCCUUUUCCUUCCAUCGCCUUUGAUAAAGCCACCGACAAUUAUCAGAAAUAAGUACAUCAUCACUUGGUAUGGAUAGGGGAGCAUUGGAGCGACGUGCACCUAGAGGCCAGUUUUUUUUUUUUUUUUCUCUAAUUGGGGGUUUAGUUGCUUGUCAGUAGCCUUAAAUCUAACUAGGAGUCUGAAUUUUUUUAUAAAGGUAAUUUAAUUAUUUUUGUUUCUUGUCAUGACUUAAGGAUGGUUAACUUGCUUAAGCCAUUUCUAUUUUAACAGAAAACAGGAGUCCUCGGAUUAAAACUAAAUAAAGGGCUGACAUUGCACCUUACCUGUGGCAUCCCAAAUAUCUCAUGGAGGGAUCAUUCAAACUUGUACAUGGUAGCCUUUAGACAAGUUGUGGAUGAAUCUUAGUUUGUGUCUACAGGUUUUGCUCUCCCUUUUCUUAGGGCUUGAAGUGUGGUUGAUCUAAGAAUAUUAUAGCUUCAUCUAGAUCUCUGAUUCUUCUUCUUUUCUACUUUUCAUGUUCUCAUAUGUGAAUAGCAAUAGCAUCAAGAGGACACUCAGGAACAUUUAGAUGUCAUGUAUAGAUCAAAUCAUUCUAAUUUGCAUUUCAUGUAAAAUGUCUCCAUUUUGUUAUAAAGAAUCUCCCCUUUUUUAGGAUUUCGUAAUAAUCUCUUAAAUUAUUACUCUCAGUUAUAUAGAUGGUUUCAUUUCCCAAAAUAAAUCCAUUAUAUAGGCUGGAUUUGGGCCUUCAAAUUUUGGGAAAAUAGAUCUUGGUUGAGCUUCCUUCCACCAUGGAAUAGUGAAUUCCCAAACAUAACACUCAUUCAAGCCAUCCAACAAGGGUGGGAUUUUGCUUCAAUGAUUAAUCUAAUCCCAGUUGGCUUGGGGAAAGCUCUAACCCCCCUGCCACAACAAUAUCUGAAAAUGCCACACCACUUCUCAUCUGCCUUGCAUAACCUUAAAACUAGCCAUCAAAGUUGAUCUAAAACAUGCAAAAGGAGGCAGUUGCCAUUCAACCACCCUUGGCUCAUCCAAUCUUACAUAAUUAGACUCAUCGGUUUGCCAAGAAAUUCUUUACAAACUUGCCACCCAGGAAGAAGUGAGAUAGCAAUCAUUGUCAUAGUUGUAAACCUUCACUUAUUCUAAAACAUCAUUGGAGUUUCUUUGUAUCUUAAUCAUGCGAAGUUAAGCAUAAUCCCUUAUAAAGCUCUCUACUUUUGGAAUUUCUUCCAAAACCUUCAUCAGCAACAUUCGUCACAUGUGAAACAAUUCCUAUGGGGAACCAAAGUGAUACCAGCCAAGACCAAAUAACUUGUUCCACAGCUCCCAUAGCAGCUAGAUGGUGAAAGAUAAAGACACAUGUUUUACCAUUUCCCAGGAAAAUAGCAAAAUCCAUAGGGCCAAGGGCUUUGAAAGAAGUCCUUGACUUCAAUGUCAUUAAUUUUGAACUUUCAUUGGCCACUAGCCACAUGAAUGCUCUUGCUUUAGAUGGAGAUUUAGACUACCAAAUAGAAUUAGCCAGAAGGAAAAUAUGUGAAGAACUAUCACUGGACAGGAAACCGAAGAAAGAUAUCAAGGAGAACCGGCAUGAAUAGAGUCAAGGACUAAAUCCUCUCACCAAUAAAAGAUUAUAAAUAAUAACAGGUAGUAAAAAAAGCUAUAAGAGGCAAGGGACUAGUCACUUCUGGUAUGUUAAGGUAUGCCAGAAGUUGAGUUUUGAGAACUGAGAAGAUGAAGAGUGGUAAAGAACAACAGAGGAGGAUAUCUAGAUCUUGAAACAAGAUAGAUAUUAGUAAGGCUACCAUAUAACGGAUCCUUCUUGAAAUAUUUUUCUGAAUCAUUUCCAACCAAAUGUCGAAUACAACAAGAAAAUCAAGGAAGCCUUAGAAAAUAGCUUACCACAGUCUGUGGUGCAACCAUAUAACCAUCAUUUGGAAUGUAAACCAUAAAUACUUCAAUCCACAAUGAUUGUCUCUAGUACUUCAGGGAGAUUCCUCUAAUUAGGCAUAAAGUUGUUUCAUUAUGGUUUAAAUCAUGUAAGUCAAGCACUCAAGCUACGGUUAAUUUAAUAAAGGCCUUUUUACUUAACUUGAUGAGGAGAACGUUGUGAUUAUUCCUAGGACAAAUUUCUUGAUGACUGUAUCUUGUUCCAGUCAUUUAUAAGUUUAAAACAUGCUAACCACUGAUGCAUCCAACCCUCUUCUAGGCAUACCCCAUUAAUAAGAAUUUGAAGUCUGAGAGAAGGGUUCUAACAGGUUUUGAAAAACAGUAGUCUUAGGUUUUUGGUUAUCUAAUUGUAUGCUUCUCUUCAACCUAAAUGAGAGUUGUCAUUUUACCAAUUUGCUCCAAGCUUCUCAGUUUUUCAUAAUUGGUUUAAGAAACUCCAUGUACUUGGGUUGCAUUACUCAAAUCUUGGGGUAUCCUAUUUAGCUUUCAAUUUAUAGGAACUUGGGACAUGUUAUGAGUAUUUAUACAAAUCUUGGAGUUUAUUGAUAAUAUGUUCUGGGCUUUGGUGGUUUGAACUUCUGCUGUUCUUUUUUAUGUUGCUCUGUAAGCCAACAUUCAAACUUGUCCCUUCUCUAUUCUUUUUUAUGUUGCUCUGUGGGUUCACUUGGUUGGGUCCUCUUUUAUGGGCAUUAGCCAAGCUACAAAAGAUUGGAAAUGGGGCAGAAGAAAACAAGUUAUUUCUUCUGUUUUUUUCCUUACAUGUAUAGUUUUUAAGAGGACUUGAAUACAGCAGUGGCUAAAGAAUCAGCCACCUGUGAAUGUGUUUGUAGCAGCAUUGUUGUCAGGAUAUUGGACCUGACAACAUAAUACUUUUAUAAAAGUGGACUGGGUCUCACAUGUACUGAUUGUAACAGUUCUAUAUAUUUGUUCACUCAUGGAUCUUCAGUGUGCAUGGCCAAAUUAUAAUACAGAAAAUUUGACAUCAAGCCUCAUGGAUAAUUGGUUUAAGCUGAUAAAGAUAUUACCUUUUCUUCCCCUUCUAUUUUUGUAAAUGCUUAAUUUCAUGUAUACAUGGGUUUAAAUUUUACUUCAUGGUAGUCUUUUAGUUCUUCAAAUUGCAGGAUAUUUAAUGUCUUAACUUGAGAGUUAGAACUGAUCGGUCUAAACUUUUACAAAAUUGGAGCCAUAAAGUUCUUUUCUUAAUAUUAUCUGGACUCCCAAUUCAACUAAAACUGGACUUUGAGGGAGUUUACUAGAAUCCUUGGAAUUAGUGUUGCAAAAGUGUGUUUGGAUCCAAGGCCUUAGCUUUUACAGCCAAGGAGAUGCCAAGUGGGGUUGAACAUGGCUGGAGCAACACAGUGACAGCCAUUUCCCUUGAUCAGUCCACAAAAUGUUGGCACCAACAAUCACUAGGCUAAGAAUUCUAUCAAUGCAACUCUGAAUACGGAUUGGCAACACAAAUACUUGAUUACCUAUGCUACAUAUAAGGAGAUAGAGCUAUUUCCUAAGCAAAGUCAGGCUGCAAGUGCCAGUAUUUAUUUAGAAAAGGUAACUCUUUAAUUUCCAUUGCUACAUAAAUCCUCAAGCUGAUUUACUUUCUGCUAUUGAUCACUGGAAGAUCUCAGACUCAUAAUUGAUGACCUAUUCCCUUUGGGUACUUUGGCCUCUGAUUAAGAUAUGCCUUUGGUCAUGAGUGAGAACAGAGAAAAUCCUUGUCUUUUAAGUAAUGAACAAUGCACAACUGCAAUUCUAACCUGUCAAAUAAGCAUUGUUGGGUUUUGAAAAUCAGAUUGGUUUUGUACACUACCAUAGUUAAAGGUUGUUCAAACCAACCUGGUUUGUAAAAGU